This is a non-coding RNA of Anolis sagrei ordinatus, 758 nucleotides long. NCBI's taxonomy places the organism in Eukaryota, Metazoa, Chordata, Lepidosauria, Squamata, Anolidae. The record is from RefSeq and is a predicted model, not a curated record.
CUGCACAGGUUUCUUCCGAGAUAGUCCAUAAUCGGGUGGAAACAUGAAUGUGUUGAAAUUGCUCAGUUUGCUGUUCAUUCUGAUUCUCUGCCUCGGGAUGUUUUCAGUUGAGAGUGCAGGUCUAAAAGUUAGAAGAAAGUGCUGCUGCAAAAUGAAGAAGUCAGAGAAACAUGGAGUGCACAAAAAGAUUCAUGGCCAUCCCAAGAAGCACUGCUGCAGGUUCUGCAAUGUAAUACUACCUCCUGGGCCUUUGUCUCAAAUCUGAAGAAAAUUAUUUUGAUACUUGGACUGCUUGCCAUUUGGAAUCUUCCUUUCCAGACAAUCUUAAUUCAAUAAUAUCGACUAAUGCACAGAGUGUUCCUGGUCUGUUUAGUUACUUGACUUCCUAAAAGGGGUUCAAAAUUCAGUUUGAAUUGGUCCAUUGACGGAAUCUUUAUCUCGAUUCGUUGCUCAUUUACAGCUUAUGCAUUUCUCCCUAUACAACAUAUGGCUACUCAGUGCACUGCACAAUGCAACCGUUAAUGAAUACAUGGUAGUGGUAGGAAAAGGAGAAAUGAAUGGAAAUAAUUAUAUGUUUAAGUCAUCAAUGUGAGUGGUAGCAGGAUGAUGACUUCAGAUCUUUACAUCACAGAGUCUACAGCUUUGCCUUAAGAAAUAUGGACUGUUCUGCUGUAAGUGUUACAAGAGGCUUUCUUGCUUUCAAUGUCCUUAACUGGGAAAAAUGACUUCAAGCUGUUUUGGAAACCAGUUCUAAAUGC